Mus pahari (shrew mouse) is the source of this 857-nucleotide long non-coding RNA. RefSeq lists it as uncharacterized. The transcript has 3 exons. The record is from RefSeq and is a predicted model, not a curated record. NCBI's taxonomy places the organism in Eukaryota, Metazoa, Chordata, Mammalia, Rodentia, Muridae.
UAGCUGGACUGUCUUCAUGGCUCCUUCCUUGUGCUUCUUUUGCAUAGAGACCCUGGGGACCAGAGAGCUCACUGUCCGAUCUGAGGGAAGCUGCACCCAUGAGAACUCCACAGUGGCUGCCUGACCGACACCUGAACAAUGGCAAUACCAAGUGACAUGCAAUGUGGAUUCGGGAAAUCUCAUGGGCCUCUUCCCCAAGUGUCGAUGUAAGGAAUCUUCUGAACACGAAAGCCUUUGCAGAAGUUUUAAUAAAUGCAGAAUCUGCUGUACUUACUCCCAAGAAGCUCCACCUGCUGAUGGAUGAUGAUCAGGUCCAGCUGCAAAGGAUGACACAAAGACGUGAGAACCAUUCCAUCGCAGCCCUCUCUAUGCAACAGGAAGCCUGUCAUUUUCAUUAAAACAUUCUGAACACCCACCAUGUGUAAGAAGACCAAAGACCAAAUUAGGUAAUGAAAAAUUCACUACUCAAGUCAUGACCCUAUAAUUCUUCUAUGAGACCGUGCCUUGUUUAUAGGCUGCGUGAGCUGUCUUCCUCAAAUGUUGUUGUUCAACUAGUAACUUACAGAACUCUUAUUCAAAGUCCAAAGGCAAAAAAGUUCCAACAGCGAGAAGAGCAAGAGUGUUUGUGACAAUGAAGACGGGAGCUGGGACUACAAACUAUCGGGAGAAUAUUUUAAAAUUGUGUGUGGACAAAAAUGGAGAAAACAUUAUUUUAUUUUAUUAUUUAUUUUUUUUAUUUAUUUACAUUUCAAGUGUUAUCUCUUUACCUGGUCCACCCCCUCCUGAAAAAUCCCUAUCCCACCCCCCCUCCACCUGCUUCUAUGAGGGUGUUCUUCCACCCACCCAUCCACUCCUGU